Octopus sinensis (East Asian common octopus) is the source of this 112-nucleotide long non-coding RNA. RefSeq lists it as uncharacterized. The record is from RefSeq and is a predicted model, not a curated record. The transcript is spliced from 4 exons. NCBI's taxonomy places the organism in Eukaryota, Metazoa, Mollusca, Cephalopoda, Octopoda, Octopodidae.
GGUGCCACGCAACAAGCACUGUGUGUGUUAGGAUGAAUUUCAAUGCUGCGAUUAUGAAUCUGUGGUUGAUGCGUCCUGGGAUCUCUUCUGGGUAUUUUUCUAGCCAGAAGGU